CCUACGGGAGGCAGCAGUGAGGAAUAUUGGUCAAUGGUCGGGAGACUGAACCAGCCAAGCCGCGUGAGGGAUGAAGGUACAGAGUAUCGUAAACCUCUUUUGUCAGGGAACAAAGGCGGGGACGUGUCCCCGGAUGAGUGUACCUGAAGAAAAAGCAUCGGCUAACUCCGUGCCAGCAGCCGCGGUAAUACGGAGGAUGCGAGCGUUAUCCGGAUUUAUUGGGUUUAAAGGGUGCGCAGGCGGUCUGUUAAGUCAGCGGUAAAAGCCCGGGGCCAAACCCCGGCCCGCCGUUGAAACUGGCAGUCUCGAGUUGGAGAGAAGUAUGCGGAAUGCGCGGUGUAGCGGUGAAAUGCAUAGAUAUCGCGCAGAACUCCGAUUGCGAAGGCAGCAUGCCGGCUCCACACUGACGCUGAGGCACGAAAGCGUGGGUAUCGAACAGGAUUAGAUACCCUAGUAGUC
RNAcentral lists this ribosomal RNA (459 nucleotides) under uncultured bacterium. RNAcentral describes it as "partial 16S ribosomal RNA". It matches the Rfam family "Bacterial small subunit ribosomal RNA", at positions 338 to 795 of the family's 1533-position model. The record is from RNAcentral.